Molecule: long non-coding RNA, 1765 nt
Filed under: Mus musculus (house mouse)
Lineage: Eukaryota; Metazoa; Chordata; Mammalia; Rodentia; Muridae
Description: long non-coding RNA chr11:105665742-105667507
Source: RNAcentral
GGGAAAUAGAAGGGUGGGAUGAAGAACACCUCUUGGAAAUAGAAGGGUGGGAUGAAGAACAGUCAGAGAGCAGACCAGGAGAGGGAUAACGAUUAAAGAAUUAAAAAAGAGAGAAAGAAAGAAAAAGAGAAGGAAAGACUUAAAUCAUAAUUUAAAAUAUUGAGAUCGCUCAGAUUUAUUCUAAAAUUACACACAAAGAUUAACAAAUUAAUAUAAAAUUGAUGUCCAGAGAACUAGGAAAUACCAGUUUAUAAAGGAAAAGAUAAUAGUUGUUAAUAUCUGGGUGAGUAAGUGAAAUUACUAGACAAAGAUGACUUAUAAAAAUGUUUGAACAGGCCGGGUGUGGUGGUGCACACCUUUAAUCCCAGCACUCAGAAGGCAGAGGCAGGUGGAUUUCUGAGUUCGAGGCCAGCCUGGUCCACAGAGUGAGUUCCAGGACAGCCAGGGCUAUACAGAGAAACCCUGUUUCAAAAAACCAAAAAAAAAAAAAAAGAAAAAGAAAGAAAUGUUUGAACAGCAAUUAUAUGAACUUUCUCAAAAUGACAAAAGUUUUAAUGAGGAAAUAGAAGACAAAAAAGGAAUCUAAUAGAAAAUUUAAAACUAAAAAAAAAAAAAGAAAAAAAGAAAUUUAAAACUAAAAUAUAAUAACCAAAGAAAAAAGGUACUUUGUAGGAUCAUCUAAUGGGAUAGAGUUAGCACAGGAAUCUAUGACCUUGAAAUCAUAUAAAUACAAAUUAUCAAGAUCUACAGAGAAACAAACAAACGGGGAGCCUCAGAGAUACGUAAAACAGAAACAAAAGGUCAACAUUUGUGCCAUUGUAGUUCCAGAAGAAGAGAAAUAGAAAUAUUAUUUAAACAAUAGCUGAAUGUUUGUCAUAUUUAUCAAAAGAAACUCACUGAACCUUAAACAGAAAAAUGUAAAGAAAUUCAUAUCCAGUUACUGUUGAUUAAUCAAUCAAUUAAAAUAUAAAACCAAAGGUCUAGAAAUUAAUCUGAGAAAAAUGAAACAGGAGUUUCCAGAAUUGCAAAGAUUAGAAGAUAUGACAAUGAGCUGCAGAUGUCACUCAAGUGAUUGUGUUUCACUGAGCAUGUACAAGGUCUUGCCUCCCACACACAGAGUAGCAAAAAUAGGAUAGAAACAAGAUUACACAACCAAAUAGCCAGUGGAAUAUUUUAACUUCACUCAUUUUUGAAUAAAUCAAUUUGCUUUUUAAGGUCUGUUAUAUUUAGAAGAGAGUACACACAUACACAUGACUCACUUAUGCAGGUGGGGAGAGCAAACAUUAUACGUAUGUCAUCUCAAUUGCUUAUCCACCCUACAUUUUUGCAAGAGGUGUCUAACUUGACUGGAAGCUUACUGUUUAGCCAGGCAGGCUGGUUAUUGAACCCUCAGGGUUGGCAUUUCUAUGCCCAUUCAGUGCUAGAGUUAAUAGGUCCUUGUUCUGGUGCAGCAAGUAUCUUAGCUACAUAGCCAUCAUCCCAGUUUCAAUUUUACUAUUAAUAAGGGAAAUACAAGUUAAACGAAAAUCUUGAAGAUUUUUGGGCAUUUUGGAUAUUAAUUCAUGAACGUCUGACAUGAAAGACCUCUUUAGAGGGUUAAAAUAACAACACAUUCUAACUUUGAGUUGGUCCAGUUAAAAUGUCAUGUGUUGCCAGGUGUGGUGGCACACACCUUUAGUCUUAGCACUUUGAGGCAGGCAGAUCUCUAAAUUCAAGGCUAGCUUGGUCUGCAAAGUAAGUUCCAGAACAGCUAGGGCUACACAGA